AUUGAACGCUGGCGGCAUGCCUAACACAUGCAAGUCGCACGCGAAAGGGGGCAACCCUGAGUAGAGUGGCGGACGGGUGAGUAACGCGUAGGACUCUACCUGGUAGUGGGGGACCACCCGGUGAAAACCGGGCUAAUACCGCAUACGAUCCGCGGAUGACAGCAGGGGACCGCAAGGCCUUGCGCUAUCAGAUGAGCCUGCGUCGGAUUAGCUAGUUGGUGGGGUAAAGGCCCACCAAGGCGACGAUCCGUAGCUGGUUUGAGAGAACGACCAGCCACACUGGGACUGAGACGCGGCCCAGACUCCUACGGGAGGCAGCAGUGGGGAAUAUUGGACAAUGGGGGCAACCCUGAUCCAGCAAUGCCGCGUGUGUGAAGAAGGCCUUCGGGUUGUAAAGCACUUUUGUCCGGAAAGAAAUGGCUCUGGUUAAUACCUGGGGUCGAUGACGGUACCGGAAGAAUAAGGACCGGCUAACUACGUGCCAGCCGCCGCGGUAA
RNAcentral lists this ribosomal RNA (497 nucleotides) under uncultured bacterium. RNAcentral describes it as "partial 16S ribosomal RNA". It matches the Rfam family "Bacterial small subunit ribosomal RNA", at positions 29 to 523 of the family's 1533-position model. The record is from RNAcentral.